RNAcentral lists this transfer RNA (74 nucleotides) under Methanomassiliicoccales archaeon. Its description in RNAcentral is "tRNA-Thr". It matches the Rfam family "tRNA". From Rfam's summary of the family: Transfer RNA (tRNA) molecules are approximately 80 nucleotides in length. Lineage: Archaea; Methanobacteriati; Thermoplasmatota; Thermoplasmata; Methanomassiliicoccales. The record is from RNAcentral.
GCCGACGUAGCUUAGCCCGGUAGAGCGGCUGACUUGUAAUCAGCAGGUCGGGAGUCCGAAUCUCCCCGUCGGCU